GUGGGGAAUCUUGCGCAAUGGGCGAAAGCCUGACGCAGCCAUGCCGCGUGAAUGAUGAAGGUCUUAGGAUUGUAAAAUUCUUUCACCGGGGAAGAUAAUGACGGUACCCGGAGAAGAAGCCCCGGCUAACUUCGUGCCAGCAGCCGCGGUAAUACGAAGGGGGCUAGCGUUGCUCGGAAUUACUGGGCGUAAAGGGCGCGUAGGCGGACAUUUAAGUCAGAGGUGAAAGCCCAGGGCUCAACCUUGGAAUUGCCUUUGAUACUGGAUGUCUUGAGUUCGGGAGAGGUGAGUGGAAUGCCGAGUGUAGAGGUGAAAUUCGUAGAUAUUCGGCGGAACACCAGUGGCGAAGGCGACUCACUGGCCCGAUACUGACGCUGAGGCGCGAAAGCGUGGGGAGCAAACAGGAUUAGAAACCCCGGUAGUCC
Molecule: ribosomal RNA, 425 nt
Filed under: uncultured bacterium
Lineage: Bacteria
Description: partial 16S ribosomal RNA
Rfam family: Bacterial small subunit ribosomal RNA
Source: RNAcentral